This 301-nucleotide ribosomal RNA is filed under the name uncultured bacterium. RNAcentral's name for it is "partial 16S ribosomal RNA". It matches the Rfam family "Bacterial small subunit ribosomal RNA", at positions 509 to 809 of the family's 1533-position model. The record is from RNAcentral.
CAGUCGCCGCGGGAAUACAGAGGGUGCGAGCGUUAAUCGGAUUUACUGGGCGUAAAGCGUGCGUAGGCGGCUUCUUAAGUCGGAUGUGAAAUCCCUGAGCUUAACUUAGGAAUUGCAUUCGAUACUGGGAAGCUAGAGUAUGGGAGAGGAUGGUAGAAUUCCAGGUGUAGCGGUGAAAUGCGUAGAGAUCUGGAGGAAUACCGAUGGCGAAGGCAGCCAUCUGGCCUAAUACUGACGCUGAGGUACGAAAGCAUGGGGAGCAAACAGGAUUAGAUCCCCGUAGUCCCUGUCUCUUAUACAC